UGCAGUCGAGCGGUAACAGGUCUUCGGAUGCUGACGAGUGGCGAACGGGUGAGUAAUGCAUCUUAACGUGCCCGAUACUGGGGGAUAACUACUCGAAAGAGUGGCUAAUACCGCAUGAAAACUGAGGUUGAAAGCGGGGGACCUUCCGGCCUCGCGCUACUGGAGCGGCCGAUAUCAGAUUACGUACUUGGUGGGAUAAAGGCUUACCAAGCCUACCAUCUGUAGCUGGUCUGACAGGACGACCAACCCCACUGGGACUGACACACGGCCCAAACUCCUACCGGAGGCAGCAAUGGGGAAUUUUGGANGAUGGAUGCAAGUCUGAUCCAUCAAUGCCGCGUGCAUGACGAAGGCCUUCGGGUUGUAAACUGCUUUUGUACAGAACGAAAGGGCUCUGGUUAAUACCUGGGGCCCAUGACAGUACUGUACGAAUAACCACCGGCUAACUACCUGCCAG
Molecule: ribosomal RNA, 457 nt
Filed under: uncultured bacterium
Lineage: Bacteria
Description: bacterial SSU rRNA
Rfam family: Bacterial small subunit ribosomal RNA
Source: RNAcentral